This is an RNA transcript of Gadus macrocephalus (Pacific cod), 3342 nucleotides long. It is a transcript of the gene named protein tyrosine phosphatase non-receptor type 2b, with no coding region annotated. The record is from RefSeq and is a predicted model, not a curated record. Lineage: Eukaryota; Metazoa; Chordata; Actinopteri; Gadiformes; Gadidae. The transcript has 11 exons.
UUGUGGGGCCCGGUGUUGGUAUUGUUGAAGUUAGUAGUUAUAUAAACUAUAUCUGCAGAAACCAUAAUAAGUAACGUAAGGCGCUAAACUGAGUGAUCACAUCUAAAAAGGACAUUGUUAGACUUGUUAAACAUGUAAAUGUUUAAGUGGCGUCAUAUUGCCAAUGGGAAAUAUUCUCAACGCUGUCUCUAUGAAACACAGCUAAAUGUAGAUAAAACGAUGCAAGGAGAAGAUCGUUUAAUUGAAGAUUAUAAUGUUGUUUUAAUGCACCUGCCCAAAGAUAGAAAAGCUUUCAUUCAAUGUAAAAUACCACUUAAAUGUUUAUUAUGGCCGAUUUGAAUGCCUCAUCCCUCAAAAUAAUAAGACCAUGUAUCUAGUUUAUAUUUAAGUGACCCCUGUCUUCUGAAUUAACUGAUAUAGGCCUACACGUGCAAUAUUAGACCCCUGCCUGUAUCUGGACUCUCUUGUUGUUACCAAGUUACCUUGUCUGUCUUAUCAUGUUGUUGGUCGGCAUUUGUUGUAAUAUCACUAUCAUUGGUUCCAUUCAAAUAGUGUUGAGCUGCCCUUUUUCUGACGCAAAAAUACAAACUAGAUGGUGUAUGAGUACGCGCAUACAGCGUCUAUGCUCCGCGAUACUGCUUCACAAUGGCGCCCCCUAUCUUUAUUGACAAGCUAUUAUAAUCAUUUGAAACAUCGAUGCUCAGUUUUUGACAGCUGCUGAAGGACCCCUGGUCGGCGCCUGCGCACUAAGCGCCCGUAUUUAGAUGUCAACUACACCACAGGUAACGGGCAAACAUUAGCAACUCCGCUAACGUAUUUAGGCUCUCCCACCAAAAGUAAUGAGGUAGAUCGCUUCACGUUCGCAUUAACAGUUACGCUGACUUCAAUUGACUGGUGUUGUCACUUUGGAAAUGGACCAGGAAUUUGAAGACAUGGAUUCCGAUGGCCGGUGGCAGAACCUAUACAUAGAAAUCAGGAAUCAGUCCCAUGAGUGCCCCUUCAAAAUCGCUAAAUAUCCGGAAAAUCGGUAUCGAAACAGAUACAGAGACGUCAACCCAUUUGACCACAGUCGGGUAAAACUUGGGAGCACGGAGAAUGACUACAUCAAUGCCAGUUUAGUGGUGAUGGAAGAAGCCCAGAGACGUUACAUAUUGACUCAGGGCCCCCUAAAGAACACCUGCAGCCACUUCUGGAUGAUGAUCUGGGAACAGCGGACCAAGGCUAUCAUCAUGCUGAACAGAGUAAUGGAGAAAGGAGCGGAGAAGUGUGCCCAGUACUGGCCCACGGCCACGGAGCAAGACAUGGCCUUCCGAGACACGGGCUUCCUGGUCACCUUGUUGUCCGAGGACGUAAAAUCCUACUACACGACCCGAGUGCUGCAGCUCCAGAAUGUACACACCGGGGAGAAGAGGGAGAUCUACCACUUCCACUACACCACGUGGCCGGACUUCGGGGUUCCCGAUUCCCCCGCCUCCUUCCUAAACUUCCUGUUCAAGGUUCGGGAGUCGACCUCGCUCGGCGCGGACCACGGGCCUGCCGUGGUGCACUGCAGCGCGGGGAUCGGGCGAUCAGGGACGUUUUCAUUGGUCGACACGUGUCUGGUGCUGAUGGACAAGAGGAAGGACCCGUCGUCGGUGGACAUCAAGAGCAUCCUGCUGGACAUGAGGAAGUACCGCAUGGGCCUGAUCCAGACGCCCGACCAGCUGCGCUUCUCCUACCUGGCGGUCCUGGAGGGGGCCAAGUACAUCAUGGGGGACUCCUCUGUCCAGAAGCGGUGGCGAGAGCUGUCCAAGGAGGACCAGGCCCCGGCGCCCGACUCCCCGCCCCCGCCGCAGCCCCAGGACGCCGGCCGGGGCCCGCGGCUCAACGGCAACCUGCGGGCCCCGCCCGAGGAGCCCGAGGACGGGGGGGCGGACGAGACCCCCGCGGGGACCCCCUGCAAGGAGGCGGACGUGGACAGCAGCAGCACACCGAAGAGACGCAGAGAGGACUCCCUCUCCAAGUCGCCGACGGCCCGCACGCCCCAGCAGCAGCAGCAGCCGCAGCAGAGCAUACCCAGGACAAACGAAUCAGAGAAGAAGAGGAAGAGUCUGGGCUGCAUUUGCUGCACAUGACAACGACUGAGCCGUCCAGUGGGGCGCACUCUAACGCCCGGCCCCUCUGGGACGGCUGCAAACAUGAAGAAGAAGAGCGGGAGGCUGGUGAUGACGGAGUGGUUAAAACAGGAGGGAGGAAGGUUACCAGCGGCUUUUAGAAAGAAACCGCCUCCUUCAGAACAUAGCAAGAACCAGUGACACCUAGCCGCCUCCCAUCUGCAGCCACCCCACCUCGCCUCUCCGCUGGCUGCAACGUGCACUUCGGCAGGGACCUCCGUCUUAGACCCAAACCCCCGCAGUCCUUCUCUCCUCCCACAGCCCCAAAUCUGUUUUUUCACACAACUUCCAUCUUGCUCGAACUCUGCCUUCUUUGGAACCCACCACUCCCUACCCCUCUCCCCCCCAAUCCCUCCCCAUGCUGAGCUUCAUGUCCAGUUUCUGACCUCCUCCUUCUUCUCUUUCUCAUCAAAAAAUAGUCUUCCCCCGCCAUUGUUGUCCAGCAUUCCCACACAUCACCAUCCCCUCUGCGUCACUCCUGCUUCGUCAUCUCCGCCCCCCCCCCCCCCAAAUGACCCCCGCGGUCGCUCCACUCCCCUCCCUCCCCUGGACACACUGCUGUUUACACCAAACACUUCGACAUUCUCUUCAAGAAAGCAUGUUCAUUUCAUAUUGUUUCUCCUUCGUCCAAAGGCGAACCACACCAGCUGUCCCAAAUCUCCCCCACCCUCAUCCCUCAUCCCCACCCCCUCCCAGCACUGCUUGUGGAACACGGCCACAUGAAGUGUCAUGUUAUCAUUUAAUAUUUUGCUGGGGCUUUUUGUUUUGCAUCUACCAAAUUGACUCUUUUUAAGUUGGCGGUCAAGGAUUCGCCGAGGGGCGACACGGUUCACACACAUGUAUUUUUUGAGAAACUUUUUUCAGACGCAAAAGAAGAAAUUUUCUAUUUUUUAUAAGAGAUUACUUGAAGUUUUCAAACCGACGUCAGGAGGGGACAUGCGCAGGCAGUCCCUCUUUUACAUGAGCAAUUCAGUGGCAUGAUGUACAUAAUGUUCUUUUUAAAAUGUUUGUAAAAAGAAUAUUUUUGCGUGUAAAGAAAAAAAGAAACAAACCAAAAGACUGAUGUAUUUGGAUCCAACACAAAAGAUACCGGAUUUCCUGAUUUAUUUGUUUUUAAUUUGUCAAAAGUCUUAACGUUUUCCUCUGCUAGAGCAAAAACUACAAAUAAAGCUGGUAUUUAUCUAGUUUA